AACGCUAUCGGUAUGCUUAACACAUGCAAGUCGAACGGACUAAUUGGGGCUUGCUCCAAUCAGUUAGUGGCAGACGGGUGAGUAACACGUGGGAAUCUACCCAUCAGUACGGAAUAACUUUUAGAAAUAAAAGCUAAUACCGUAUAUUCUCUACGGAAAAAAGAUUUAUCGCUGAUGGAUGAGCCCGCGCCAGAUUAGGUAGUUGGUGAGGUAACGGCUCACCAAGCCGACGAUCUGUAGCUGGUCUGAGAGGAUGAUCAGCCACACUGGGACUGAGACACGGCCCAGACUCCUACGGGAGGCAGCAGUGGGGAAUAUUGGACAAUGGGCGAAAGCCUGAUCCAGCAAUACCGAGUGAGA
RNAcentral lists this ribosomal RNA (360 nucleotides) under uncultured Rickettsia sp. RNAcentral's name for it is "bacterial SSU rRNA". It matches the Rfam family "Bacterial small subunit ribosomal RNA", at positions 32 to 406 of the family's 1533-position model. Lineage: Bacteria; Pseudomonadati; Pseudomonadota; Alphaproteobacteria; Rickettsiales; Rickettsiaceae. The record is from RNAcentral.